CAGCCGUAAACAAUGUGCGUUAGGUGUGUCGGUAACCACGCGUUACUGAUGCGCCGAAGAGAAAUCGUGAAACGCACCACCUGGGAAGUACGGUCGCAAGGCUGAAACUUAAAGGAAUUGGCGGGGGAGCACAACAACGGGUGGAGCCUGCGGUUUAAUUGGACUCAACGCCGGACAACUCACCGGGACGACAGCAAUAUGUAGGCCAGGCUGAAGACCUUGCCUGAAUCGCUGAGAGGAGGUGCAUGGCGUAGACGUCU
This 260-nucleotide ribosomal RNA is filed under the name uncultured archaeon. RNAcentral's name for it is "partial 16S ribosomal RNA". It matches the Rfam family "Archaeal small subunit ribosomal RNA", at positions 748 to 1009 of the family's 1478-position model. The record is from RNAcentral.